Vigna angularis (adzuki bean) is the source of this 1459-nucleotide RNA transcript. It is a transcript of the gene named dual specificity phosphatase Cdc25, with no coding region annotated. The record is from RefSeq and is a predicted model, not a curated record. Lineage: Eukaryota; Viridiplantae; Streptophyta; Magnoliopsida; Fabales; Fabaceae. The transcript is spliced from 4 exons.
GGAAAUUGGGUUGGUGCGUGUGGAAAUUUGAGUUAAAUUUGAAAUGAGAAGAGUGGAGAGGCGAUACGAGAUUAUGGCUCGCAGUAUAUCGUACAUUACAGGCACACAACUUCUCUCUCUCAGACGCCAUCCAAGCAUCGCCAUCGUCGAUGUCAGGGACGAUGAGAGGGGUUACGAUGGACACAUAUCGGGGUCUCUUCAUUACGCAAGCGAUACUUUCUCCGAUAACAUUUCAAACCUCGUUCAGGCGGUUAAAGGCAAAGAUACCGUCGUCUUCCACUGCGCUCUAAGCCAGUGGGAAGUCGGAGGUGGUGGAAUACGGUUUUCAUUAUCACAUGGCAGUGUUUUACCCUGCUUCUCACUGGUUCUCUCUAGGCACAAAUCAUGACGAUAAGAAUUCCUGUUGUGAGCAUCUCCGCUUUGUGAGAGGCAUUGUUCUUCAUUUUGGGGUUUGUUUUCUCAGUCAAAUAAACGCGAACUGGCACAGAGUUAGGGACCAAGGUCCGUGCAUGUAUCAGUUAAUAGAUGAUAUGAAGCAUUAGGUCAAGAGUAGGGAAAGUGUAUUCCAAGAAAAAGAAGAAAGAUUAGAGAUUUGGUUAGUUAGUCAUUUAUGAUGAGCUGCCAGUUGUUAGUAGUUAAUGGGCUGACCAAAUAAAAAGAGAAGCUGUAAACAGAAGAGGGGGAGAAAAACUGUUGUAAGGCUGAGAGACAAUCUCCAAAGGACCUCUUGGCUCUGGUUCUUUGUAACAAUUAUUGAUAGUGAAUGAUACUCCUCUCUUCUUUAAUUCUUUUGGGUUUGGUCAAAUAUUCUGUUCUUUUCGUUUUGUUGGUUGGUUCGUUUUUCCUAACAUAGUAGUUUGAUGCAAAGUAAGUGUUUCAGAAGGGAAGGGAUUUGGCUAAAAGAAAGUCAAUAUUGAGUAAAGGCAGCAGUUUGAGACGAAAGACCUGCAGCUAUUUGAGGGGACAAAAAUCCUUUAGAAAGAAAAAUAAGGAAUCGAAUUUUGCAGUAUUGUCUUUUGACUGUUUUUACCGUCUUCCAUUGGCCAUGCCAAAGUGUGUCACUAAAUAUGCUAUAACUGGUUCCUUUUCUGAGGAUGAUCUAUUCAUAUAGAGUUGCAAUCUACAUAAUUGAUUGAUUAGCUUCUUAUAUGCAUAUGCUGAUUUACUCAGAUUAUUUUUUGCUUUCAUAUUACCCGUGCCUUUUCAGAAUUUAAUACCUGACGCAGUUGAUAUUUAACUCUUGUGUCAAAGCUUCUUCGUUUGAGUUGGUUCCAAGAUACAAUGGAUAAGGCAGACAUUACAUUUUUACAUAUAACUUCGUAGUUACAUCGUAAAACCUACAUGUCAGAAACAAGUUUCAUAGAAUUUGACAAUUUUUUUGUAAGGGGGCGUGUCUUCCUAUUCUCUUUUUGUACAAUACAAGAAUGUUUCUCUCUAGACUGAACAUGUCGUAAGCUAU